UUUCCAGUCAUAUAGCAUUGUGGUCAGAAAAGAUGCUUGAUAUGAUUUCAAUUUUCUUAAGGUUACCAAGGUUGGAUUUGUAGCCCAGGAUGUGAUCAAUCUUAGAGAAUGUUCCAUGUGCACUUGAUAAGAAUGUGUAUUCUGUUGCUUUUGGAUGGAGUGUCCUAUAAACAUCUACUAAGUCCAUCUGGUUUAAAGCUUCAUUCAGGGCCUCUGUUUCCUUAUUGAUUUUCUGUCUGGUUGAUCUGUCCAUUGCUGUAAGUGGGGUGUUAAAGUCCCCCCACCAUUAUUGUGUUAUUGUUGAUUUGUCCUUUUAAGGUUGUUAGCAGUUGCCUUAUAUAUUGUGGUGAACCUAGGUUGGGGACGUAGCUAUUGAAAUUUGUUAUAUCUUCUUCUUAGAAUGAUCCUUUGAUCAUUAGGUAGUGACCUUCCUUGUCCCUUAAUAUAUUCUUCAUUUUAAAGUCUAUUUUGUCUGAUAUGAGUAUUGCUACUCCAGCUUUCUUUUGAUCCCCAUUUGCGUGAAAUAUUUUCUUCCAUCCUCUCACUUUCAAUUUGUAUGUGUCCCUAGAAGUGAAGUGGAUCUCUCGAAGACAGCAUAUAUGUGGGUCUUGUUUUUGUAUCCAUUCAGCCAGCCUGUGUAUUUUGGUUGGGGUGUUUAGUCCAUUAACAUUUAAGGCAAUUAUUGAUAUGUAUGUUCUUAUUGCCAUUUUAUUAAUUGCUUUGGAUGUGUUUUUGUUAGUCUUUUUUCUUUCCUACUUCUCUUGUUCACUCCUCUUCUGGUUUGAUGACUAUCUUUAGUGUUGUAUUUGAGUUGAUUUUUCUUUGUUUGUGUAUCAAUUGUAGAUUUUUGGUUUGCAGUUAUUGUGAAGUUUUGAUAUAAGAGUCUAUAUGUAUAUGAGAUUGUUUUAAGUUGUUCUCUUAAUUGCAAGUUCAUCUCCAGUGUCCUGCAUUUGCACCCACCUCGUCUCGGGAUUUCUGAUUUUGGUGGUAUAAUUGUGCAUGGAUGAUUUCUUCUCUUUACCAUAUAUAUACCUUUACUGGUGAGCCUUGUCAUUUGUGGAAUUUUUGUUUCCUGUUGCUGUCUUUUCUUUUAUGCCUAGAGAAGUUCCUUUAGUAUUUGUUGUAAGGCUGGUUUAGUGUUGCUGAAUUCUCUCAGCUUUUGCUUAUCUGUGAAGGUUUUGAUUUCUCCUUCAAAUCUGAAUGAGAGCCUUGCUGGGUAGAGCAAUCUUGGUUGGAGGAUUUUUCCUUUCAUCACGUUAAGUAUAUCAUGCCAUUCCCUUCUGGCCUGCAGAGUUUCUGCUGAAAAAUCUGCCAAUAGCCUUAUUGAAGUUCCCUUGUAUGUUAUUUGUUUCUUUUCCCUAGCUGCUUUCAAGAUUUUCUAUUUGUCUUUAAUUUUGGUCAGUUAGAUUAAUAUGUGUCUUGGGGUGUUCUCCUUGGGUUUAUUUUAUAUGGUGCUUGUGCUUCUUGGAUUUGAGUGAGUGGUUCCUUUCCCAUGUUAGGGAAGUUUUCAGCUAUUAUCUCUUGGAAUAUUUUUUCUGUCUCCUUCUCUCUCUCUCUUCUCCGUCUGGCAUCCUUAUAAUACAGAUGUUGGUGCAUUUAAUGUUGUCCCAGAGUUCUCUGAGACUCUCUUCAUUAGUUUUCAAUCUUUUUUCUCUUUUCUGUUCCACAUUCAUAAUUUCUUAUAGUCUACCCUCCACCUCGCUUAUUCAUUCUUCUGCCUCCUGUAUUCUGCUGUUGGCUGCUUCUAUGAAUUUUUUUUUCAGUUAUUGUAUUUUGCAUCUCUUCUUGCUUAAGUUUUAUAUCUUCUAUCUCUUUGCUCAGUGUUUCCUGUAAGUUAUCCAUCUUUGCCUCCAGUUUAUUUCCAAUGUCUUGCAUCAUCUUCAGCAUCAACAAUCUAAAGUCUUUUUCUUGGAGGCUGAGAAUAUCCUCAUCACUUAGCUGAUUUUCUGGGUUUUUUCCUUUCUCCCGCAUCUGAGUUAUAGUUCUCUGUCUUUUCAUUAUUAGAGGUUUUUGGUGUGGUGACAUUUUUACAGAUAAUAGAGUUGUAGCCUCUCCUACUUCUGGUGUCUGUCCCCCUUGUGGCUGAAGUCAGUAUGGGGGCUUGCUGUAGGCUUCCUGAUGGGAGGGCUGAUGCCUGCCCACUGGUAGGUGGAGCCAGUUCUAAUCCCUCUGGUGGGUGGGGCUUAGUCUGUGGAUGGGAUUAGAGGCAGCUGUGUGCCUGAGGGGUCUUUAGGUAGCCUAUUUACUGAGGGGUGGGGCUGUGAUCCCACCUGGAUUGUUGUUUGCCCUGGGGUUUCUCAGCCCUGACUGACAGUGCAGCCAGGUUUUCCCAAAAUGGCCACCUCCAGAGAAAGGCACAGCUGCUGAAUAUUCCUGGGAGCUUUGCCUUCAAUAUCCUUCCCUCACACUAAGCCACAUUCACCCCUGUUUUCCCAGGAUGUCCUCCGAGAACUGCAGUCAGGUUUGACCCAGAUUCCUAUGGAGACUUUGCUUUGCCCUGGGACUCAGUGCACGUGAAAGUUUGCGUGCACCUUUUAAGAAUGGGGUCUCUGUUUCCCCUGGUCCCGUGGAGCUCCUGCGCACAAGCCCCACUGGCCUUCAAUGCCAGAUGCUCCAGGGGCUCUUUGUCCCAGUGCCAGAUCCCCACAUGUGAGAGUUUGAUGUGGGGCUCAGAACUCUCACUCCUGUAGUUGAAUCUCUGUGAACCAGUUAGUUUCCAGUCUG
This 2724-nucleotide long non-coding RNA is filed under the name Sus scrofa (pig). Its description in RNAcentral is "lncRNA (ENSSSCG00035013010.1)". Lineage: Eukaryota; Metazoa; Chordata; Mammalia; Artiodactyla; Suidae. The record is from RNAcentral.